UCCGUGUUAACCACGGCAGUCUCCUUAGAGUGCCCAACUGAAUGCUGGCAACUAAAGACAAGGGUUGCGCUCGUUGCGGGACUUAACCCAACAUGUCACCACACGAGCUGACGACAGCCAUGCAGCACCUGUCUCUCUGCUGUAUUGCUACAGAAACUCUAUCUCUAGAGCGAUCAGAGGAUGUCAAACCCAGGUAAGGUUUUUCGCGUUGCUUCGAAUUAAACCACAUGAUCCACCGCUUGUGCGGGCCCCCGUCAAUUCCUUUGAGUUUUAGUCUUGCGACCGUACUUCCCAGGCGGGGUACUUAUUGCGUUAGCUACAGUUCGGCGGGGGUCAAGACCCACCAAACCUAGUACCCAUCGUUUACGGCGUGGACUAC
This 379-nucleotide unclassified non-coding RNA is filed under the name uncultured Oligoflexales bacterium. Its description in RNAcentral is "contains 16S-23S intergenic spacer region". Lineage: Bacteria; Pseudomonadati; Bdellovibrionota; Oligoflexia; Oligoflexales. The record is from RNAcentral.